AUGGUGGAGCUGAUGGCAGUUGCCUCCUCCCCCCUCCCCAAAAGGUGCAAACUCUCGAACGUCUCCCUCAUUCCCCUCUUACCUACUCAUUCGUUCUUCCAUCGGCGCCGCAGCAACAGUGGAGGCGGAGCGGCCCACGGGUUCCUGGCUUACCUGCCACGCGGCGAGGUAGCCGCGGCCGGACUAGGAGCCUCGACAUCUAGGAUUCGCAGGCCGUGGUCGACUUCUGCUCCGAACAUCACAGGUCGUAUGAUGCGCAAGAGAGUUGAAGCCCGCCGCGUUCCAACUCUGAGGGAUGUGCAUCCACACACGAAAUGGAGUUUAUGUCUCAGAGUAUACCACAAAUUCCACAUUGAACGAAUUGGCUUUGGUAGGAAGAGACUAAACUUGGUCGUGUUGGACACAGAGGAGGACAUGAAAGAAUUUCGACGAAAAUUAGCUGUCAUACUGUUGGAAACAGAACUUAAUAUGUUAAAAGGAAGUCCAAUAUAUUAUCAGCCUGACAAUGAAGAAAAUGUAUCUGAUUCUGAUGUUGAGUUUCUGGAGGAUCGAAAGCGUAAGCGGCAAGAUUCACCCGAUGGAGCCAAAGACAAAAGCCCCCUUCCGAACCCUAUCAUCGCCGCGGACCCGCAAGAUUUAGUUGACGAACUAUGCAACCACAUCAUGUUAAUUAAUGAUGCUGAUUCCCUGGAAAAGGAGUGGGUGCGAAGCUCUAAACCCCAUCUGAUAGGAUUAAGUCUCAGAAGGAUUCAAGGUAUACUCCACAGGGAUCAGCCGUUGGACAUUGAUUGUUUCAACAUGGCUAUACGUAUACUUGCAUGUGACAAGGCCUUACUGCCAGUAGAUCCUCCAGUGCGCUUUAUGGAUCUACAAUUUUGUACGUCCGUGAUCGAGGCCGCCCUCGCUUCCGCACGAGAUUUAGAUUCGCGGGUACAGCCAGAUAUUCAGGCGCUAGCAUCGUUGCUCCGUAGCUCGACUGAGAUAGACAACAUAUCAUCAUGCAAUUGGAUAUUGCUCCCUCAUGCAUUCCUCGGCCACUACAUCUUGUUCGCAAUCGACAAACAUUCACGUCAAGUAACUAUUUUGGACCCACUAUUUCCGCCCUUAUCCCCAGAGAGAUAUGCGUUAAAAUUUCAGAGGGUUGCAUUCUACCUGAAUGAUGCACUCGAAUUAGCACAACCGGGUUGGAAGUCUGAUACAUUUGCCUGGCCACGUAAAUCACCAAUUGAUGUUCCGAUGAGCCUAGACCGGAAUGAAUCUGGUUAUUUUGUUUUCAAUUAUAUGCUCUGGCAUGGUAACAAAUUUGUUCGUCCAAUUUGCACGGAUGGUUAUGAGUUGAGAAAGAAUAUUUUGAUACACUUGCUCGAGCAUGAUGCGAAUGAAGCUGAAGACAAUAUCCCAUAUGAUGUACGAGAAAUUCUCAAGUGCCUCAAGUAUGAAAACCCUAUGUUUGUGAGAAAUCGACCCGCGGUCUUUCUUCUAUCUUAUCCAGACGUUCCUUUCCAGCGCGGCGGGGCGGCGCCCUUCACCGCGGCGACAGCUCCAGGUGGGCUCGCGGGAGACGGCGCUGGGCUUGGGAGAUGCGGCUGCGAGGGCUCCGCAUCAGGCAGCGACAGCGAGGCGGGGAUGCGGCGCUGCGCUUCCGGGAUGCAGCGGCGAGGCGUCGAGGCAGCGCUGCGCUCGGGCGCCACAUCAGGCGGCAGCAGCGAGGCGGGAGGCGCACACGGAGAUGAAGGAGGGGAAAAUGGAGAGUCGGCCGGGGCGAGGAGUUCGCCGACGUCGAAGCCACGGACCCCGGCGCUGCAAGCUUGCAGGGGGCGGUGGCCAUGGCCGGGAGGCGGCGCUGAGUUCGGGCGCCGCAUGCCUCCUCUGUCGCUCCUUGUUUCUUUAUUCCCCAACUCCUCUCUUGCACGUCGUCAUCUUGCCGCCCACGCAGCAAAGAGAUCGAGGAAGAGGCGAGAGUCGGAGAAGCACAUCUCUGAAAUUCACAGUUUUGAACCCAAAGAGACGCAUCUAGACAAUGGUUGCAUCAGUGGUUCCAGUGUCAUAUACGCCAACAUGGUGGCCAAUCUUAUUGAGAAGAAUGACACAACAGCAGGCAGUGGAUCAGAGCCCAAACUCUCACUUGUUAGGAUAAAGGUGGACUACUCUGUGUUCUUAACAAUACACCCCCAACGGUUUGGUCAAAAGUUGCCAAUCCACAAGUCAUUGUUGUUUUCUGAAGAUCAGCAAAAUGGCGCCAAAAUAUGCACGACAAUGCUUGAGGUUCCGGAGAACUCUACCCAAAUGAGCUUAAUCAACACACUGUCGAAGCUCUGGUUCCGGAAAAAUAUGCAGGUUCUUCCACUGGACAACCUGGACACUGCCAUUCAUGUUUUCGUCAACAAGGCAGACAAUAUGGCAUUUCACUCUUGCCUGCAGAAGAACACCGAAGAGGCAAUAGUAGAACGAGUUGACCAUCACCAAGAAAUCCUCACCUUGAAGAAUGAAGCCAAUGGUGAACAAGGAUGUUCUUUCUACCAAAGAACCAGGCCAUGCCGAGGUAGUGGUGUGGUUCGGAUGAUGGUGGUGAGGCUAAAAUAUGGGAGAUGA
RNAcentral lists this ribosomal RNA (2592 nucleotides) under Triticum aestivum (bread wheat). Its description in RNAcentral is "partial small subunit ribosomal RNA". The record is from RNAcentral. Lineage: Eukaryota; Viridiplantae; Streptophyta; Magnoliopsida; Poales; Poaceae.